Musa acuminata AAA Group (dessert banana) is the source of this 990-nucleotide long non-coding RNA. RefSeq lists it as uncharacterized. The transcript has 4 exons. Lineage: Eukaryota; Viridiplantae; Streptophyta; Magnoliopsida; Zingiberales; Musaceae. The record is from RefSeq and is a predicted model, not a curated record.
UCUAGUCUAGAUUCCCAGGUUUCUUGCGGUUCACCCUCACAUCCCACCAAGUUCAGCAAGCUGCCUCCUCUUACCUCUUCUUCUCCUUGUUCUUGACAGUAGGGAAGGGAAGGACCGAGAGAUUCCAAGCAGGGAGGGACAGCAUGUGGAGGGAUAGAAGAGGAGGAGGAGGGCGAAAUGUCUAGAAGAAGGUUGAUGGAACUUACAAAUCCAAAUCCUGCAGUCUUGUAAAUUGGUCCAACCAUCGUGUAACCUUUACAGUACUUUGAAAGGAAUUGCUUGAUAUAUGGGAUUUCAUGGACAAUGGCCGCAACACCACCACUGUGGCUUCCUUUCUUCAGGGCCUCAACAUACUCAUCUGAAAACCCAUACAGCCAUUUUUCUACUUAAAAUGAGGAGAAAGUGUUCGAGGAAUCAGUUACGCAACUGUGGGCAAAAACUAGCGUCGAGAAAGAGAAGUAGAAGAUUGUCCCAAGCUGCUGGCUAACUGGACCCCUAAACUCCAUGUUGAUGCGAUGUUCGAGCACCCACACAACAAAUCCAGUGUAGAAGAAAGCAGCCAAGCUCCCCAACCACAAAUCAAAGAAAUAAUUGCAAAGGCAUAAAAAUUCUGAUACUAAUCAGAUAACAAAAGAUAACUGGAUAGCUACCUGCAGAAGCCGCCUGCACCACAUCGUUACCCGAAUCUUUGGUGUGGAGAACCAGUCUCGUGGUGUAGUUGCUGUUGAUGGAGUAGAAGUCAUCGAUCGCCAUCGAUAUGCUAGUUUGCCCCAUUUUUCCGACCAAGGUGGUCAGGUCAAGGAUUACUCCAACAUGAAAGGGAUUUUCCAUAAUGUUGCUGACAUUUCUCUGUGCUGCUGAAAAGAGAAUGAACAUGAACAGGAAGACAAUGACACCAGUAGGUUUCUCCAUUUUGAGCUACAGACUGUUUGCUCAAUUACUGUGCCGAUUUGCCUUUUAUAAGAUCUCUUAGGAAGCUAAAAGAAGUCA